UACGAAGGGCCCGAGCGUUAAUCGGAAUCACUGGGCUUAAAGGGUGCGCAGGCGGACCUGUAAGUGCUUUGUGAAAUCCCAUGGCUCAACCAUGGAAUUGCUUGGCAUACUGCAGGUCUUGAGCCCGACAGAGGUCGUCGGAACUCUAGGUGGAGCGGUGAAAUGCGUAGAUAUCUAGAGGAACGCCAAAGGUGAAGACAGACGACUGGGUCGGCGCUGACGCUCAGGCACGAAAGCGUGGGGAGCGAACGGG
This 253-nucleotide ribosomal RNA is filed under the name uncultured Phycisphaera sp. RNAcentral's name for it is "partial 16S ribosomal RNA". It matches the Rfam family "Bacterial small subunit ribosomal RNA", at positions 524 to 776 of the family's 1533-position model. The record is from RNAcentral. Lineage: Bacteria; Pseudomonadati; Planctomycetota; Phycisphaerae; Phycisphaerales; Phycisphaeraceae.